Molecule: long non-coding RNA, 1082 nt
Filed under: Physcomitrium patens
Lineage: Eukaryota; Viridiplantae; Streptophyta; Bryopsida; Funariales; Funariaceae
Description: long non-coding RNA (PPAT_LNC001497)
Source: RNAcentral
UUGUGUCGACAUCAGCGAUGCAUUACAGUUCCAUGGCCUACUACGGGUUCCAUGAGUGUUUCGUAUCACCACAACACUCCCCAUGCAGGGUUGCGUGAAACUCACUUCAGAAGCAUGCAAUCGAUCCAUUGACUGAAGAUUAUUGUUCAUGGCAGUCAACAGUGAUGCUGUCAGUGACCGCCACCCUUGUGCAGACAACGCUGAGCUACGAAGAGUCGAAGCCUGGUACGCAUCUCAUCUGAUUCUUCUCAUAUCCAAUGGUUCUCUUAUACAUUUACACCAUCGAAAGGAUUGUUUUUUGUUAGCGCACAGCUUGGAAUUCCUUUAUCAGAUUAUCUCAUUGUCCAGAUUCUGGUUGAUGAAGCAUCUGCAGAUUGCGAACUGAGCUGACUGUGAAGUGAUGAUCUGUUUUAAACGGAUUCCAUGUGUUUUCAGAAACUGGGUUAUGCACAACCCACAAGCAUUUUAGGCUUAGAAAUUAAACUGUACGAGAACAUCCCUUCGUUUUAGACAUUCUACAGCCAACUGCUUCAGUCUGUGCCUCACACUGUAGGCUCUUGGAAACUCCUUAUUCAAGUAGAAUGAUGUUUCUGCAUAUGAUUGGAUAUCAAGUUGGCUUAGGUUUCGGAAAGAUUGUGCUCUUGUUUUAAGGAACAUUUACAUGUCAAGUUAGUUCUGGAAUGUGAAAGAUGUGGUUUGAAUAGCUGCAUUUUUCCAUGGUAGGUUUUAUUUGUGGAUGGUAGAAAAUUUAAAAUGCAGUAUUUGAUGUCUUUUGUUUUUAAAAUUUUGAUUCGUUCGUUUGGUUUAUGUGAAGGCUAUAAUCUAAUAAUAGUUUCAUGUAGUUUUCAACUUCAUUGUAAACAAGAAUAAAAGAUGGAGUACAAGUGCUUUUAUUAAAAUAUGAAGAAAAGUAAACUGAGAUAAAGUAAGCAGCAUUGUAAUUUAGAGUAGUUUUAUUGAAUCAAGACAUGAAUGAAUUAAAAUUUAAUAUUUAUCAACGUGACUUAAUGUUUAAAACUUUACAUCCUAAAUCAGUGUUUUGUUAUAGUAUUAUUACAUUUCGUAUAAUAUUUGACGUUUUU